RNAcentral lists this ribosomal RNA (465 nucleotides) under uncultured bacterium. Its description in RNAcentral is "partial 16S ribosomal RNA". It matches the Rfam family "Bacterial small subunit ribosomal RNA", at positions 339 to 795 of the family's 1533-position model. The record is from RNAcentral.
CUACGGGCCGCAGCAGUGAGGAAUUUUGCGCAAUGGGGGGAACCCUGACGCAGCAACGCCGCGUGAGUGAUGAAGGCUUUCGGGUCGUAAAGCUCUGUCAAGUGGGAAGAACCUAUGCAGUGUUAAUAUCACUGUAUACUGACGGUACCACUGAAGGAAGCACCGGCUAACUCCGUGCCAGCAGCCGCGGUAAUACGGGGGGUGCAAGCGUUAUUCGGAAUCAUUGGGCGUAAAGGGCACGUAGGCGGCUUGGUAAGUCAGAUGUGAAAGCCCGGGGCUUAACCCCGGAAGUGCAUUUGAUACUGUCAGGCUUGAGUAUGGGAGAGGGAAGUGGAAUUCCUGGUGUAGAGGUGAAAUUCGUAGAUAUCAGGAGGAACACCGGUGGCGAAGGCGACUUCCUGGACCAAUACUGACACUGAGGUGCGAAGGCGUGGGUAGCAAACAGGAUUAGAUACCCGGGUAGUC